AGUUUGAUCAUGGCUCAGAACGAACGCUGGCGGCAUGCCUAACACAUGCAAGUCGAACGAGACCUUCGGGUCUAGUGGCGCACGGGUGCGUAACGCGUGGGAAUCUGCCCUUUGCUUCGGAAUAACAGUUAGAAAUGACUGCUAAUACCGGAUGAUGUCUUCGGACCAAAGAUUUAUCGGCAAAGGAUGAGCCCGCGUAGGAUUAGGUAGUUGGUGGGGUAAAAGGCCUACCAAGCCGACGAUCCUUAGCUGGUCUGAGAGGAUGAUCAGCCACACUGGGACUGAGACACGGCCCAGACUCCUACGUGAGGCAGCAGUGGGGAAUAUUGGACAAUGGGCGCAAGCCUGAUCCAGCAAUGCCGCGUGAGUGAUGAAGGCCUUCGGGUCGUAAAGCUCUUUACCAGGGAUGAUAAUGACAGUACCUGGAGAAUAAGCUCCGGCUAACUCCGUG
Molecule: ribosomal RNA, 451 nt
Filed under: uncultured bacterium
Lineage: Bacteria
Description: bacterial SSU rRNA
Rfam family: Bacterial small subunit ribosomal RNA
Source: RNAcentral